CAUUGUCUUCGCGAGGCUAAACGCGAUAUUGAAAGCGUUAGCAUCGCGUGAGGCUAAUG
This 59-nucleotide microRNA precursor is filed under the name Pristionchus pacificus. RNAcentral describes it as "mir-8229 microRNA precursor family". It matches the Rfam family "mir-8229 microRNA precursor family". Lineage: Eukaryota; Metazoa; Nematoda; Chromadorea; Rhabditida; Neodiplogasteridae. The record is from Rfam by way of RNAcentral.